Molecule: ribosomal RNA, 392 nt
Filed under: uncultured bacterium
Lineage: Bacteria
Description: bacterial SSU rRNA
Rfam family: Bacterial small subunit ribosomal RNA
Source: RNAcentral
AUUGAACGCUGGCGGCAUGCUUUACACAUGUAAGUCGAACGGUAACAGGCCGCAAGGUGCUGACGAGUGGCGAACGGGUGAGUAAUGCAUCGGAACGUGCCCAGUCGUGGGGGAUAACGCAGCGAAAGCUGUGCUAAUACCGCAUACGAUCUACGGAUGAAAGCGGGGGACUCAGCAAUGAGCCUCGCGCGAUUGGAGCGGCCGAUGUCAGAUUAGGUAGUUGGUGGGAUAAAAGCUCACCAAGGCGACGAUCUGUAGCGGGUCUGAGAGGAUGAUCCGCCACACUGGGACUGAGACACGGCCCAGACUCCUACGGGAGGCAGCAGUGGGGAAUUUUGGACAAUGGGCGCAAGCCUGAUCCAGCCAUGCCGCGUGAGUGAAGAAGGCCUCGG